ACGCUCGACACCUACGGGGGGCAGCAGUGGGGAAUAUUGCACAAUGGGGGAAACCCUGAUGCAGCGACGCCGCGUGGAGGAAGAAGGUCUUCGGAUUGUAAACUCCUGUUGUUGGGGAAAAAGAGGAUGGUACCCAACAAGGAAGUGACGGCUAACUACGUGCCAGCAGCCGCGGUAAUCUGAGGCGGGCUGGACAAGGC
This 200-nucleotide ribosomal RNA is filed under the name uncultured bacterium. Its description in RNAcentral is "partial 16S ribosomal RNA". It matches the Rfam family "Bacterial small subunit ribosomal RNA", at positions 328 to 539 of the family's 1533-position model. The record is from RNAcentral.